ACGCUCGACACCUACGGGAGCAGCAGUAGGGAAUCUUCCACAAUGGGCGCAAGCCUGAUGGAGCAACACCGCGUGAGUGAAGAAGGGUUUCGGCUCGUAAAGCUCUGUUGUUGGAGAAGAACGUGCGUGAGAGUAACUGUUCACGCAGUGACGGUAUCCAACCAGAAAGUCACGGCUAACUGCGUGCCAGCAGCCGCGGUAAUCUGAGCGGGCUGGCAAGGC
Molecule: ribosomal RNA, 222 nt
Filed under: uncultured bacterium
Lineage: Bacteria
Description: partial 16S ribosomal RNA
Rfam family: Bacterial small subunit ribosomal RNA
Source: RNAcentral